RNAcentral lists this ribosomal RNA (496 nucleotides) under uncultured bacterium. Its description in RNAcentral is "partial 16S ribosomal RNA". It matches the Rfam family "Bacterial small subunit ribosomal RNA", at positions 29 to 507 of the family's 1533-position model. The record is from RNAcentral.
AUGAACGCUGGCGGCGUGCCUAAUACAUGCAAGUCGAGCGAACAGACGAGGAGCUUGCUCCUCUGACGUUAGCGGCGGACGGGUGAGUAACACGUGGAUAACCUACCUGUAAGACUGGGAUAACUUCGGGAAACCGGAGCUAAUACCGGAUAAUAUAUUGAACCGCAUGGUUCAAUAGUGAAAGACGGUUUUGCUGUCACUUAUAGAUGGAUCCGCGCCGCAUUAGCUAGUUGGUAAGGUAACGGCUUACCAAGGCGACGAUGCGUAGCCGACCUGAGAGGGUGAUCGGCCACACUGGAACUGAGACACGGUCCAGACUCCUACGGGAGGCAGCAGUAGGGAAUCUUCCGCAAAGGGCGAAAGCCUGACGGAGCAACGCCGCGUGAGUGAUGAAGGUCUUCGGAUCGUAAAACUCUGUUAUUAGGGAAGAACAAAUGUGUAAGUAACUAUGCACGUCUUGACGGUACCUAAUCAGAAAGCCACGGCUAACUACGUG